This 83-nucleotide transfer RNA is filed under the name Cyanidium caldarium. Its description in RNAcentral is "tRNA-Leu". It matches the Rfam family "tRNA". Rfam says of the family: Transfer RNA (tRNA) molecules are approximately 80 nucleotides in length. The record is from RNAcentral. Lineage: Eukaryota; Rhodophyta; Bangiophyceae; Cyanidiales; Cyanidiaceae.
GGGCAAAUGGCGAAAUAGGUAAACGUAUCAAACUCAAAAUUUGACGACUUCAAGUCAUGUGGGUUCGAUUCCCACUUUGCCCA